GACCCGUAAUCCGGGUUGCGGACAGUGUCUGGUGGGUAGUUUGACUGGGGCGGUCUCCUCCUAAAGAGUAACGGAGGAGCACGAAGGUUGGCUAAUCCUGGUCGGACAUCAGGAGGUUAGUGCAAUGGCAUAAGCCAGCUUGACUGCGAGCGUGACGGCGCGAGCAGGUGCGAAAGCAGGUCAUAGUGAUCCGGUGGUUCUGAAUGGAAGGGCCAUCGCUCAACGGAUAAAAGGUACUCCGGGGAUAACAGGCUGAUACCGCCCAAGAGUUCAUAUCGACGGCGGUGUUUGGCACCUCGAUGUCGGCUCAUCACAUCCUGGGGCUGAAGUAGGUCCCAAGGGUAUGGCUGUUCGCCAUUUAAAGUGGUACGCGAGCUGGGUUUAGAACGUCGUGAGACAGUUCGGUCCCUAUCUGCCGUGGGCGCUGGAGAAUUGAGGGGGGCUGCUCCUAGUACGAGAGGACCGGAGUGGACGCAUCACUGGUGUUCGGGUUGUCAUGCCAAUGGCACUGCCCGGUAGCUAAAUGCGGAAGAGAUAAGUGCUGAAAGCAUCUAAGCACGAAACUUGCCCCGAGAUGAGUUCUCCCUGACUCCUUGAGAGUCCUGAAGGAACGUUGAAGACGACGACGUU
RNAcentral lists this ribosomal RNA (630 nucleotides) under Escherichia coli. Its description in RNAcentral is "partial 23S ribosomal RNA". It matches the Rfam family "Bacterial large subunit ribosomal RNA", at positions 2230 to 2854 of the family's 2925-position model. The record is from RNAcentral. Lineage: Bacteria; Pseudomonadati; Pseudomonadota; Gammaproteobacteria; Enterobacterales; Enterobacteriaceae.